RNAcentral lists this ribosomal RNA (2329 nucleotides) under Haemophilus influenzae. RNAcentral describes it as "bacterial LSU rRNA". It matches the Rfam family "Bacterial large subunit ribosomal RNA", at positions 14 to 2371 of the family's 2925-position model. The record is from RNAcentral. Lineage: Bacteria; Pseudomonadati; Pseudomonadota; Gammaproteobacteria; Pasteurellales; Pasteurellaceae.
AGCGUACAAGGUGGAUGCCUUGGCAAUCAGAGGCGAAGAAGGACGUGCUAAUCUGCGAAAAGCUUGGAUGAGUCGAUAAGAGGCGUUUAAUCCAAGAUAUCCGAAUGGGGAAACCCAGUAGAUGAAGAAUCUAUUAUCAACAAGUGAAUUCAUAGCUUGUUGAGGCAAACCGGGAGAACUGAAACAUCUAAGUACCCCGAGGAAAAGAAAUCAACCGAGAUUUCGUCAGUAGCGGCGAGCGAAAGCGAAAGAGCCAGUAAGUGAUAACAGUAUGGUUAGGAGAAUGUGUUGGGAAGCACAAUCAAAGAGGGUGAUAAUCCCGUAUCUUAAAACCAUAUUGUGGUACUAAGCUAACGAGAAGUAGGGCGGGACACGUGAUAUCCUGUUUGAAGAUGGGGGGACCAUCCUCCAAGGCUAAAUACUCCUGAUUGACCGAUAGUGAACCAGUACUGUGAAGGAAAGGCGAAAAGAACCCCGGUGAGGGGAGUGAAAUAGAACCUGAAACCUUGUACGUACAAGCAGUGGGAGCCUGAAAGGGUGACUGCGUACCUUUUGUAUAAUGGGUCAGCGACUUAUAUUUUGUAGCGAGGUUAACCGAAUAGGGGAGCCGAAGGGAAACCGAGUCUUAACUGGGCGACGAGUUGCAAGGUAUAGACCCGAAACCCGGUGAUCUAGCCAUGGGCAGGUUGAAGGUUGGGUAACACUAACUGGAGGACCGAACCGACUAAUGUUGAAAAAUUAGCGGAUGACUUGUGGCUGGGGGUGAAAGGCCAAUCAAACCGGGAGAUAGCUGGUUCUCCCCGAAAUCUAUUUAGGUAGAGCCUUGAGGUGACACCUUUGGGGGUAGAGCACUGUUUCGGCUAGGGGUCCAUCCCGGAUUACCAACCCGAUGCAAACUACGAAUACCAAAGAGUGAUACUCAGGAGACACACGGCGGGUGCUAACGUUCGUCGUGGAGAGGGAAACAACCCAGACCGCCAGCUAAGGUCCCAAAGUCUAUAUUAAGUGGGAAACGAAGUGGGAAGGCUUAGACAGCUAGGAUGUUGGCUUAGAAGCAGCCAUCAUUUAAAGAAAGCGUAAUAGCUCACUAGUCGAGUCGGCCUGCGCGGAAGAUGUAACGGGGCUGAAAUAUAGCACCGAAGCUGCGGCAUCAGACGAAAGUCUGUUGGGUAGGGGAGCGUUGUGUAAGCGGAUGAAGGUUAAUCGAGAGGUUAGCUGGACGUAUCACAAGUGCGAAUGCUGACAUAAGUAACGAUAAAACGAGUGAAAAACUCGUUCGCCGGAAGACCAAGGGUUCCUGUCCAACGUUAAUCGGGGCAGGGUGAGUCGGCCCCUAAGGCGAGGCUGAAAAGCGUAGUCGAUGGGAAACAGGUUAAUAUUCCUGUACUUGGUAAAGCUGCGAUGUGGGGACGGAGUAGGUUAGGUUAGCGUGCUGUUGGAUAUGCACGUUUAAGUUGGUAGGUGGGAAGUUUAGGCAAAUCCGGACUUCCUUAACACUGAGAGAUGAUGACGAGGCUCUACGGAGCUGAAGUAACUGAUACCACACUUCCAGGAAAAGCCACUAAGCGACAGGUUUUACUAAACCGUACUGAAAACCGACACAGGUGGUCAGGUAGAGAAUACUCAGGCGCUUGAGAGAACUCGGGUGAAGGAACUAGGCAAAAUAGCACCGUAACUUCGGGAGAAGGUGCGCCGGCGUAGAUUGUAAGGGCUAGCCCCUGAAGGUUGAACCGGUCGAAGAUACCAGCUGGCUGCAACUGUUUAUUAAAAACACAGCACUCUGCAAACACGAAAGUGGAGGUAUAGGGUGUGAUGCCUGCCCGGUGCUGGAAGGUUAAUUGAUGGUGUAAUCGAAAGAGAAGCACCUGAUCGAAGCCCCAGUAAACGGCGGCCGUAACUAUAACGGUCCUAAGGUAGCGAAAUUCCUUGUCGGGUAAGUUCCGACCUGCACGAAUGGCAUAAUGAUGGCCAGGCUGUCUCCACCCGAGACUCAGUGAAAUUGAAAUCGCCGUGAAGAUGCGGUGUACCCGCGGCUAGACGGAAAGACCCCGUGAACCUUUACUAUAGCUUGACACUGAACAUUGAAUUUUGAUGUGUAGGAUAGGUGGGAGACUAAGAAGUAGGAACGCCAGUUUCUAUGGAGUCAUCCUUGAAAUACCACCCUUUAACGUUUGAUGUUCUAACGAAGAUUACGAAACGUGGUCUCGGACAGUGUCUGGUGGGUAGUUUGACUGGGGCGGUCUCCUCCCAAAGCGUAACGGAGGAGCACGAAGGUUUGCUAAUCACGGUCGGACAUCGUGAGGUUAGUGCAAUGGUAUAAGCAAGCUUA